GACGAACGCUGGCGGCGUGCUUAACACAUGCAAGUCGAACGGAAAGGCCCUGCUUUUGUGGGGUGCUCGAGUGGCGAACGGGUGAGUAACACGUGAGUAACCUGCCCUUGACUUUGGGAUAACUUCAGGAAACUGGGGCUAAUACCGGAUAGGAGCUCCUGCUGCAUGGUGGGGGUUGGAAAGUUUCGGCGGUUGGGGAUGGACUCGCGGCUUAUCAGCUUGUUGGUGGGGUAGUGGCUUACCAAGGCUUUGACGGGUAGCCGGCCUGAGAGGGUGACCGGCCACAUUGGGACUGAGAUACGGCCCAGACUCCUACGGGAGGCAGCAGUGGGGAAUAUUGCUCAAUGGGCGGAAGCCUGAUGCAGCAACGCCGCGUGCGGGAUGACGGCCUUCGGGUUAUAAACCGCUUUCGCCUGUGACGAAGCGUGAGUGACGGUAAUGGGUAAAGAAGCACCGGCUAACUACGUG
This 468-nucleotide ribosomal RNA is filed under the name uncultured bacterium. Its description in RNAcentral is "partial 16S ribosomal RNA". It matches the Rfam family "Bacterial small subunit ribosomal RNA", at positions 28 to 507 of the family's 1533-position model. The record is from RNAcentral.